GACGAACUGUGCAAACGUUAUUCGGAAUCACUGGGCUUGAAGAGUGCGUAGGCGGUUUCGUAAGUAGGGUGUGAAAGCCCCCAGCUCAACUGGGGAACUGCGUCCUAAACUGCGAGGCUAGAGUCCGGGAGAGGAGAGUGGAAUUCCUGGUGUAGCGGUGAAAUGCGCAGAUAUCAGGAAGAACACCCGUGGCGAAAGCGGCUCUCUGGAACGGUACUGACGCUGAGACGCGAAAGCGUGGGGAGCGAACAGG
This 253-nucleotide ribosomal RNA is filed under the name uncultured bacterium. Its description in RNAcentral is "partial 16S ribosomal RNA". It matches the Rfam family "Bacterial small subunit ribosomal RNA", at positions 524 to 776 of the family's 1533-position model. The record is from RNAcentral.